Canis lupus familiaris (dog) is the source of this 102-nucleotide non-coding RNA. NCBI's taxonomy places the organism in Eukaryota, Metazoa, Chordata, Mammalia, Carnivora, Canidae. The record is from Rfam.
AGGAAUCAUCCCAGUGACGCUGGCAGCUCUGGAGCCCUGGAUUCAGCUCCCACAGUAACUAUGGAGCUCUCCCUCUGCAGGACCUGGAGGUGCCAAGGCGGG